GAUGAACGCUGGCGGCGUGCCUAAUGCAUGCAAGUCGAGCGAACAGACGAGGAGCUUGCUCCUUUGACGUUAGCGGCGGACGGGUGAGUAACACGUAGGUAACCUACCUAUAAGACUGGGAUAACUUCGGGAAACCGGAGCUAAUACCGGAUAAUAUUUCGAACCGCAUGGUUCGAUAGUGAAAGAUGGCUUUGCUAUCACUUAUAGAUGGACCUGCGCCGUAUUAGCUAGUUGGUAAGGUAACGGCUUACCAAGGCAACGAUACGUAGCCGACCUGAGAGGGUGAUCGGCCACACUGGAACUGAGACACGGUCCAGACUCCUACGGGAGGCAGCAGUAGGGAAUCUUCCGCAAUGGGCGAAAGCCUGACGGAGCAACGCCGCGUGAGUGAUGAAGGUCUUCGGAUCGUAAAACUCUGUUAUUAGGGAAGAACAAACGUGUAAGUAACUGUGCACGUCUUGACGGUACCGAAUCAGAAAGCCACGGCUAACUACGU
This 496-nucleotide ribosomal RNA is filed under the name uncultured bacterium. RNAcentral describes it as "partial 16S ribosomal RNA". It matches the Rfam family "Bacterial small subunit ribosomal RNA", at positions 28 to 506 of the family's 1533-position model. The record is from RNAcentral.